RNAcentral lists this ribosomal RNA (1047 nucleotides) under uncultured bacterium. Its description in RNAcentral is "bacterial SSU rRNA". It matches the Rfam family "Bacterial small subunit ribosomal RNA", at positions 8 to 1044 of the family's 1533-position model. The record is from RNAcentral.
AGAGUUUGAUCAUGGCUCAGAUUGAACGCUGGCGGCAUGCUUUACACAUGCAAGUCGAACGGCAGCACGGGUGCUUGCACCUGGUGGCGAGUGGCGAACGGGUGAGUAAUGCACCGGAACGUAUCCAAUAAUGGGGGAUAACGCACCGAAAGGUGUGCUAAUACCGCAUACGCCCUGAGGGGGAAAGCGGGGGACCGAAAGGCCUCGCGUUACUGGAGCGGCCGAUGCCGGAUUAGCUAGUUGGUGAGGUAAAGGCUCACCAAGGCGACGAUCCGUAGCUGGUCUGAGAGGACGACCAGCCACACUGGGACUGAGACACGGCCCAGACCCCUACGGGAGGCAGCAGUGGGGAAUUUUGGACAAUGGGCGCAAGCCUGAUCCAGCCAUGCCGCGUGAGUGAAGAAGGCCUUCGGGUUGUAAAGCUCUUUCGCAAGGAAAGAAAACUCAUCUCCUAAUACGAGGUGAGGAUGACGGUACCUUGAUAAGAAGCACCGGCUAACUACGUGCCAGCAGCCGCGGUAAUACGUAGGGUGCGAGCGUUAAUCGGAAUUACUGGGCGUAAAGCGUGCGCAGGCGGUUUCGUAAGUCAGAUGUGAAAUCCCCGGGCUCAACCUGGGAACUGCGUUUGAAACUGCGAGGCUAGAGUGUAGAAGAGGGGGGUAGAAUUCCACGUGUAGCAGUGAAAUGCGUAGAGAUGUGGAGGAAUACCGAUGGCGAAGGCAGCCCCCUGGGCUAACACUGACGCUCAUGCACGAAAGCGUGGGGAGCAAACAGGAUUAGAUACCCUGGUAGUCCACGCCCUAAACGAUGUCUACUAGUUGUUGGAGGAGUAAAAUCCUUUAGUAACGCAGCUAACGCGUGAAGUAGACCGCCUGGGGAGUACGGUCGCAAGAUUAAAACUCAAAGGAAUUGACGGGGGCCCGCACAAGCGGUGGGAUUAUGUGGAUUAAUUCGAUGCAACACGAAAAACCUUACCUGGCCUUGACAUGCCACUAACGAAGCAGAGAUGCAUCAGUGCCCGAAAGGAAAGUGGGACACAGGUGCUGC